ACUCACCGCUACUCCACUGCCAACCAACCAUAGUAGGCAAGCAAGGCAAUUCAUCACCGAAAAAAUCAUCGUACUAGCUAGCAGCACGCAGAGCACAAGCUACGAGAUCAUCGUCGUCCAUGGCCAACUUCGCCGCUCAGCUCAAGGACAAGCUCCUCGGCCUCGUCGACCGCGUCGUCAGCUGCGGCGGCCGCGGCGCCUGCGCAAACAAGGAUGUACCGGAGGCGCCCGCCAAGUUGCCAAAUGUUCAGCCCAUUGCGAUCAAGCCGAGAGAUCCCAACGUGAGCCAAGGAUCAAAGCCCGGCUUCAACUGAGACCAACCGCGUUAAAUAAACGACUCGACUUGUUCAUCGUUGUUGCGUGCAUGGUUGAUGACAUGCUUGCCGGUGUUCCAAAUAAGAAUUCUCCUGUUCCAUUGGUUGUAAUGGAACCACCUUGAGAUUUAUUUUUUUAUUUUCCUUUCGAAGUUUCCCUUUGAUCCAUGAGGAUCUGGGCGUGUAUUUUUAUUUUGAAACAUGCAACCUCAAUAAAAAUAGUAGUUUGAUUAAUGGUAUA
Long non-coding RNA from Panicum virgatum (switchgrass), 555 nucleotides. RefSeq lists it as uncharacterized. The record is from RefSeq and is a predicted model, not a curated record. The transcript has 2 exons. Lineage: Eukaryota; Viridiplantae; Streptophyta; Magnoliopsida; Poales; Poaceae.